RNAcentral lists this ribosomal RNA (484 nucleotides) under uncultured bacterium. RNAcentral's name for it is "partial 16S ribosomal RNA". It matches the Rfam family "Bacterial small subunit ribosomal RNA", at positions 30 to 507 of the family's 1533-position model. The record is from RNAcentral.
AUUGAACGCUGGCGGCAUGCUUUACACAUGCAAGUCGAACGGCAGCACGGGCUUCGGCCUGGUGGCGAGUGGCGAACGGGUGAGUAAUAUAUCGGAACGUACCCAGAAGUGGGGGAUAACGUAGCGAAAGAUACGCUAAUACCGCAUACGAUCUAUGGAUGAAAGCAGGGGACCGCAAGGCCUUGUGCUCUUGGAGCGGCCGAUAUCUGAUUAGCUAGUUGGUGAGGUAAAGGCUCACCAAGGCGACGAUCAGUAGCUGGUCUGAGAGGAUGACCAGCCACACUGGAACUGAGACACGGUCCAGACUCCUACGGGAGGCAGCAGUGGGGAAUUUUGGACAAUGGGCGCAAGCCUGAUCCAGCAAUGCCGCGUGAGUGAAGAAGGCCUUCGGGUUGUAAAGCUCUUUUGUCAGGGAAGAAACGGUAGAGGCUAAUAUCCUUUGCUAAUGACGGUACCUGAAGAAUAAGCACCGGCUAACUACGUG